Molecule: ribosomal RNA, 137 nt
Filed under: uncultured bacterium
Lineage: Bacteria
Description: partial 16S ribosomal RNA
Rfam family: Bacterial small subunit ribosomal RNA
Source: RNAcentral
UGGGGAAUAUUGCACAAUGGGCGAAAGCCUGAUGCAGCAACGCCGCGUGAGCAAUGAAGGCCUUCGGGUCGUAAAGCUCUGUCCUCAAGGAAGAUAAUGACGGUACUUGAGGAGGAAGCCCCGGCUAACUACGUGCC